AUUGAACGCUGGCGGAAUGCUUUACACAUGCAAGUCGAACGGUAGAGGGGGCAACCCCUUGAGAGUGGCGAACGGGUGAGUAAUAUAUCGGAACGUGCCCAGUCGUGGGGAUAACGUAGCGAAAGUUACGCUAAUACCGCAUACGAUCUAAGGAUGAAAGCGGGGGGAUCGCAAGACCUCGCGCGAUUGGAGCGGCCGAUAUCAGAUUAGGUAGUUGGUGAGGUAAAGGCUCACCAAGCCAACGAUCUGUAGCUGGUCUGAGAGGACGACCAGCCACACUGAAACUGAGACACGGUCCAGACUCCUACGGGAGGCAGCAGUGGGGAAUUUUGGACAAUGGACGCAAGUCUGAUCCAGCCAUUCCGCGUGCAGGAUGAAGGCCCUCGGGUUGUAAACUGCUUUUGUACGGACGAAACGGUGAGCUCUAAUACAGUUUGCUAAUGACGGUACCGUAAGAAUAAGCACCGGCUAACUACGUGCCAGCAGCCGCGGUAAU
Molecule: ribosomal RNA, 496 nt
Filed under: uncultured bacterium
Lineage: Bacteria
Description: bacterial SSU rRNA
Rfam family: Bacterial small subunit ribosomal RNA
Source: RNAcentral